GGGGAUUCCGCCGGAUUACCCGGCGUGCCCCGCGGCAAAAUGGCGGCCUAAGAUUCAGAGAAGGAACUGGGACCUAUAAAGGACCUAUAUAAAAUGAAGUAAUGAAUUUUUACUAAAUCUUCAGAUAGCAGGAGCUGUUGGCCAGAUGCUGCUGAAUACUGACAGGAGAAAGCUGAUUCAGAGACAAACGACCAGAAAUGUUUGGACAUGUCGUCACUUUGGAUCUGUCAUCUGAGUGAGUGUCCUGGCUUCAUGAGGCUUUGAAUUUGAGCCCAGGCUGGUAACCUGCUUUC
This 293-nucleotide long non-coding RNA is filed under the name Lonchura striata (white-rumped munia). RNAcentral's name for it is "domestica (Bengalese finch) lncRNA (ENSLSDG00000004542.1)". Lineage: Eukaryota; Metazoa; Chordata; Aves; Passeriformes; Estrildidae. The record is from RNAcentral.